Molecule: ribosomal RNA, 269 nt
Filed under: uncultured prokaryote
Description: partial 16S ribosomal RNA
Rfam family: Bacterial small subunit ribosomal RNA
Source: RNAcentral
UACGUAGGGUGCAAGCGUUGUCCGGAUUUAUUGGGCGUAAAGAGCUCGUAGGCGGUAUGUCACGUCGGAUGUGAAAAUCCAAGGCUCAACCUUGGACCUGCAUCCGAUACGGGCAAACUAGAGUGUGGUAGGGGAGACUGGAAUUCCUGGUGUAGCGGUGAAAUGCGCAGAUAUCAGGAGGAACACCAAUGGCGAAGGCAGGUCUCUGGGCCAUUACUGACGCUGAGGAGCGAAAGCGUGGGGAGCAAACAGGAUUAGAUACCCCCGUA